AGACGGAGGGCGCAAGCGUUGUUCGGAAUUACUGGGCGUAAAGGGCAGGUAGGUGGUCUGUUAAGUCUUCUGUGAAAAUCCGGGGCUCAACCCCACGAAAUGCAGGGGAAACUGGUGGACUGGAGACUGGUAGAGGCUAGCGGAAUUCCUGGUGUAGCGGUGGAAUGCGUAGAUAUCAGGAAGAACACCUGUGGCGAAGGCGGCUAGCUGGGCCAGUUCUGACGCUGAACUGCGAAAGCGUGGGGAGCAAACAGGAUUAGAUACCCCAGUAGUCC
This 275-nucleotide ribosomal RNA is filed under the name uncultured bacterium. RNAcentral's name for it is "partial 16S ribosomal RNA". It matches the Rfam family "Bacterial small subunit ribosomal RNA", at positions 523 to 796 of the family's 1533-position model. The record is from RNAcentral.